RNAcentral lists this ribosomal RNA (253 nucleotides) under uncultured bacterium. Its description in RNAcentral is "partial 16S ribosomal RNA". It matches the Rfam family "Bacterial small subunit ribosomal RNA", at positions 524 to 776 of the family's 1533-position model. The record is from RNAcentral.
UACGUAGGGGGCAAGCGUUGUCCGGAAUCAUUGGGCGUAAAGAGCGUGUAGGCGGUCCGGCAAGUCGGCUGUGAAAGUCCAGGGCUCAACCCUGGGAUGCCGGUCGAUACUGCCGGACUAGAGUUCGGAAGAGGCGAGUGGAAUUCCCGGUGUAGCGGUGAAAUGCGCAGAUAUCGGGAGGAACACCUAUGGCGAAGGCAGCUCGCUGGGACGUUACUGACGCUGAGACGCGAAAGCGUGGGGAGCGAACAGG